RNAcentral lists this ribosomal RNA (860 nucleotides) under Rufibacter glacialis. RNAcentral describes it as "partial 23S ribosomal RNA". It matches the Rfam family "Bacterial large subunit ribosomal RNA", at positions 388 to 1246 of the family's 2925-position model. The record is from RNAcentral. Lineage: Bacteria; Pseudomonadati; Bacteroidota; Cytophagia; Cytophagales; Hymenobacteraceae.
UUUUGGAGCAUAGUGGUAUCCUGAGUAGGGCGGGACCAGAGGAAUCCCGUCUGAAUCCACCGGUACCAUCCGGUAAGGCUAAAUACUCCUGAGAGACCGAUAGUGAACCAGUACCGUGAGGGAAAGGUGAAAAGAACCCCGAAUAGGGGAGUGAAAUAGAACCUGAAACCAUGCGCCUACAAGCGGUCGGAGCCCUUUCGUGGGGUGACGGCGUGCCUUUUGCAUAAUGAGCCUACGAGUUACUCCUCCCUGGCGAGGUUAAGUGUGUCAACACACGGAGCCGCAGCGAAAGCGAGUCUGAACAGGGCGCACAGUCAGGGGGGGUAGACGCGAAACUUUGUGAUCUACCCUUGGGCAGGAUGAAGUUGCGGUAACACGCAAUGGAGGUCCGAACCAGUUUCCGUUGAAAAGGAUUUGGAUGACCUGAGGGUAGGGGUGAAAGGCCAAUCAAACUGAGAAAUAGCUCGUACUCCCCGAAAUGCCUUUAGGGGCAGCGUCGAGGUGGAGUCUCAUGGAGGUAGAGCUACCGAUAGGACUAGGGGGAGUCAAAUCCUACCGAAUCCUGACGAACUCCGAAUGCCAUGAGACAUACUCGGCAGUGAGGCUUGGGGUGCUAAGGUCCCAGGCCGAGAGGGAAAGAACCCAGACCGCCAGCUAAGGUCCCUAAAUAUACGCUAAGUUGAACAAAGGAGGUCCAGUUGCCUAGACAGCCAGGAUGUUGGCUUGGAAGCAGCCAUUCAUUUAAAGAGUGCGUAACAGCUCACUGGUCGAGCGACAGGGCAUCGAUAAUAAUCGGGCAUCAAGCGUAUUACCGAAGCUGCGGAUAGAAUCUGAUUCUGUGGUAGGGGAGCAUUCCCGUC